This 804-nucleotide ribosomal RNA is filed under the name Lactobacillus casei group sp. Its description in RNAcentral is "bacterial SSU rRNA". It matches the Rfam family "Bacterial small subunit ribosomal RNA", at positions 18 to 786 of the family's 1533-position model. Lineage: Bacteria; Bacillati; Bacillota; Bacilli; Lactobacillales; Lactobacillaceae. The record is from RNAcentral.
CCUGGCUCAGGAUGAACGCUGGCGGCGUGCCUAAUACAUGCAAGUCGAACGAGUUCUCGUUGAUGAUCGGUGCUUGCACCGAGAUUCAACAUGGAACGAGUGGCGGACGGGUGAGUAACACGUGGGUAACCUGCCCUUAAGUGGGGGAUAACAUUUGGAAACAGAUGCUAAUACCGCAUAGAUCCAAGAACCGCAUGGUUCUUGGCUGAAAGAUGGCGUAAGCUAUCGCUUUUGGAUGGACCCGCGGCGUAUUAGCUAGUUGGUGAGGUAACGGCUCACCAAGGCGAUGAUACGUAGCCGAACUGAGAGGUUGAUCGGCCACAUUGGGACUGAGACACGGCCCAAACUCCUACGGGAGGCAGCAGUAGGGAAUCUUCCACAAUGGACGCAAGUCUGAUGGAGCAACGCCGCGUGAGUGAAGAAGGCUUUCGGGUCGUAAAACUCUGUUGUUGGAGAAGAAUGGUCGGCAGAGUAACUGUUGUCGGCGUGACGGUAUCCAACCAGAAAGCCACGGCUAACUACGUGCCAGCAGCCGCGGUAAUACGUAGGUGGCAAGCGUUAUCCGGAUUUAUUGGGCGUAAAGCGAGCGCAGGCGGUUUUUUAAGUCUGAUGUGAAAGCCCUCGGCUUAACCGAGGAAGCGCAUCGGAAACUGGGAAACUUGAGUGCAGAAGAGGACAGUGGAACUCCAUGUGUAGCGGUGAAAUGCGUAGAUAUAUGGAAGAACACCAGUGGCGAAGGCGGCUGUCUGGUCUGUAACUGACGCUGAGGCUCGAAAGCAUGGGUAGCGAACAGGAUUAGAUACC